GACGAACGCUGGCGGCGUGCUUAACACAUGCAAGUCGAACGGAAAGGCCCUGCUUUUGUGGGGUGCUCGAGUGGCGAACGGGUGAGUAACACGUGAGUAACCUGCCCUUGACUUUGGGAUAACUUCAGGAAACUGGGGCUAAUACCGUAUAGGAGCUCCUGCUGCAUGGUGGGGGUUGGAAAGUUUCGGCGGGUGGGGAUGGACUCGCGGCUUAUCAGCUUGUUGGUGGGGUAGUGGCUUACCAAGGCUUUGACGGUUAGCCGGCCUGGGAGGGUGACCGGCCACAUUGGGACUGAGAUACGGCGCAGACUGCUACGGGAGGCAGCAGUGGGGAAUAUUGCACAAUGGGCGGAAGCCUGAUGCAGCAACGCCGCGUGCGGGAUGACGGCCUUCGGGUUGUAAACCGCUUUCGCCUGUGACGAAGCGUGAGUGACGGUAAUGGGUAAAGAAGCACCGGCUAACUACGUG
Molecule: ribosomal RNA, 468 nt
Filed under: uncultured bacterium
Lineage: Bacteria
Description: partial 16S ribosomal RNA
Rfam family: Bacterial small subunit ribosomal RNA
Source: RNAcentral